CCUGCCGGGUUGUGAUGAGAUGCUGAUUGCCUAGCCACAUUCCUCAAGUCAUGGACAUCUGGAGAACGAGAGGUCUUUCAUGUCUUCAACGUGAAUGAGUGUAGCUGACAGCUUCCCCACAUUCUUUACAUUAGAAAGGUUUCUCAUCAGUGUGAAUUUGAGUGUGAUGGUUAAGGCAUGAGGAAUUCUUAAAAGAUUUUCCACAGUCCUUACAUACAAAAACCUGCUCUUCAGUCUGCUGUAGUCAAGAGAUCUGUCCCGAGUGCAUGCUUGCUGGGAAACAACAUUUGGAGUAGAGCUGAAGGCUUUUCCACACUGACCCAACACGGAAAACUGCUCUCCAAUUUUGAACAAGGUUUUCUGGCAUGGAAUAAAAAAGUCCCUUUCAUAAUGAUUAGACACA
This is a long non-coding RNA of Homo sapiens (human), 403 nucleotides long. The record is from Ensembl. NCBI's taxonomy places the organism in Eukaryota, Metazoa, Chordata, Mammalia, Primates, Hominidae.